GCAGGCGUGGUGAAAUUGGUAGACACGCCAGACUUAGGAUCUGGUGGCGUGAGCUGUGAGAGUUCGAGUCUCUCCGCCUGCACCA
Molecule: transfer RNA, 85 nt
Filed under: Pseudomonadota bacterium
Lineage: Bacteria; Pseudomonadati; Pseudomonadota
Description: tRNA-Leu
Rfam family: tRNA
About the family: Transfer RNA (tRNA) molecules are approximately 80 nucleotides in length. Their secondary structure includes four short double-helical elements and three loops (D, anti-codon, and T loops). Further hydrogen bonds mediate the characteristic L-shaped molecular structure. tRNAs have two regions of fundamental functional importance: the anti-codon, which is responsible for specific mRNA codon recognition, and the 3' end, to which the tRNAs corresponding amino acid is attached (by aminoacyl-tRNA synthetases). tRNAs cope with the degeneracy of the genetic code in two manners: having more than one tRNA (with a specific anti-codon) for a particular amino acid; and 'wobble' base-pairing, i.e. permitting non-standard base-pairing at the 3rd anti-codon position.
Source: RNAcentral